RNAcentral lists this long non-coding RNA (304 nucleotides) under Carica papaya (papaya). Its description in RNAcentral is "long non-coding RNA (CPAP_LNC005304)". Lineage: Eukaryota; Viridiplantae; Streptophyta; Magnoliopsida; Brassicales; Caricaceae. The record is from RNAcentral.
UGAACUAAUUUAGUAAAUUGUUCUUUAUUUUUUCUCUAGUUUUAUUAAUUGGCAAGGAAAUGCCUUCAUGUUUUCUUUCGAUAAGUAGAUAAAAAACACAUAAAACAAUGGAUGCGUCUACAUAAAGAGAAGCGUGAGUCGUGUAAAUGAAAAGCAAGAAAAACCAUUGAAGAGGAGGCAUGAAUAAAAAGGUGAAACAAAUUUAUAAGUUAGAAUCAAGCCAUCACAUAAACAACAAGUGAAACAAAGAAACAUAGUUUGUGAAAAUUGCUGAGAUAACAUAUUAUUACACCUUAAUUUUGUC